Molecule: ribosomal RNA, 305 nt
Filed under: uncultured bacterium
Lineage: Bacteria
Description: bacterial SSU rRNA
Rfam family: Bacterial small subunit ribosomal RNA
Source: RNAcentral
UCCUACGGGAGGCAGCAGUGAGGAAUAUUGGUCAAUGGCCGAGAGGCUGAACCAGCCAAGUCGCGUGAGGGAAGACGGCCCUACGGGUUGUAAACCUCUUUUGUCGGGGAGCAAAGCGAACCACGUGUGGUUCAUUGAGAGUACCCGAAGAAAAAGCAUCGGCUAACUCCGUGCCAGCAGCCGCGGUAAUACGGAGGAUGCGAGCGUUAUCCGGAUUUAUUGGGUUUAAAGGGAGCGUAGAUGGGUUGUUAAGUCAGUUGUGAAAGUUUGCGGCUCAACCGUAAAAUUGCAAUUGAUACUGGCAG